Molecule: microRNA precursor, 103 nt
Filed under: Marmota monax (woodchuck)
Lineage: Eukaryota; Metazoa; Chordata; Mammalia; Rodentia; Sciuridae
Source: RNAcentral
AGAAGCAUUGCUGGAUCAUAUGGUAAUACUAUGUUUAGAUUUUUGAGAAACUGCCAAACUGUUUUCUAUAGCAGCCACACCAUUUUACAUUCCCACCAGCAAU